RNAcentral lists this ribosomal RNA (229 nucleotides) under Crotalus pusillus. Its description in RNAcentral is "partial 16S ribosomal RNA". The record is from RNAcentral. Lineage: Eukaryota; Metazoa; Chordata; Lepidosauria; Squamata; Viperidae.
GCUGACCGAACAACAAACCACAAACAUAUCCUACUAAAUAAACAAAUCAUUUGACCCACCCAGUAGAUGCGAUCGAACAGUCACAAGUCAUAACAAAGUACCGCAAGGGAACCACCAUCAAGCAACAAACAGCAAAGACGAAACCUUGUACCUUUUGCAUCAUGGUUUAGCAAGAUUAUAGGACAAGAAGAAUCACAGCCCACCCCCCCGAAACGGAACGAGCUAUUUU